Gavialis gangeticus (Gharial) is the source of this 3517-nucleotide long non-coding RNA. RefSeq lists it as uncharacterized. The transcript has 3 exons. Lineage: Eukaryota; Metazoa; Chordata; Crocodylia; Gavialidae. The record is from RefSeq and is a predicted model, not a curated record.
GGGUGAACUAAGUUAGAUUGGGUGGCCAUUUUUAAUGCAGUCUAACCUCCACCUAACCUCCCCAUGUCUAUAUGUACCCCCUGUGUGCUCAGUCUAGGCUUGAGUUUGAUGACACUGAAAUCUCACAGCCUGAAGAUAGCCGACAUCUCACAAGAUAAAAUAUUUUCCUGUUAUAUUGGUCUACAACUGAAUCAGAUCUGAAAAACAAGCUUCUGUCCCUUUGGGAUCUGACAAAAAUAAAUACGCAAGCUUGUAUUUAGGGGGUUAAAUUCAAUCCCCAACUGCUUUUCAAAUUCUGGAGUUCAAAUUUUAUGAAUUAAUGCAAUCAUUAGAAAAAGGGCAAGGAGAUAUCUAAAUACAUCCCUUUGUUUCUGAAAACUUGAAAGUAUUAUAGACUUUAUAGAGAAUUUUCCCCAACCUCUUAAAGUUUAAAGAUCAUCUAUUUACAUCUGAGCUUUCUUUCCAUCUGCUUUUAUUACUAGAAAAACACAACCAGGUUGAAAUUCCCUAUAUUAUCUUAAAUGAAAUCAGCUGGACUUUUUUUCCAAUUUGCCUCCGGCUUUAGUGAAAAAUCUUAUCAGAAUACUAGUACGGUAAAGCAGGCUCCCCUUUAUGAAAACAUUUUUGUUUUUAGUAAUAAUUCCUGUUUCAUCUGUGGAAAACACAAAGUGUGGUACAUUGGAGUUGGAUAUAUAGCUUGGAUUCAGAAACUGAAAUUGCAAAUUUAUCAUACAAUGCUCUUUUCCUUUUAUACUUAAUUCAUGUCAAUAUUGCUUAUUAAUGAUUUUAUAUGUAUACACGCAUGACAUUCUUCACACACAAUAUUUAGUAGGCAUGUAAAAAAAUGUGUCUAUGACAAGAGAGAAAAAUAGGGACUGUAAUUCUUUAAUGUUUAAGAAAACCGGCCCAGUUGUAAACUUUGAGGGAAGUCUUGUUUUCAGAUUAAAUUAAUCAUAUUUCUAUUAAAACUGUCAAUCAAUAAACCUUAAAAAUCAGCAUUCAGGAAAGGCAAUUCUGAUAGGAGUAAUAAUUCAUUUUUUACGAUUCACUCUUUUGUGGGCGGAAGGAUGGUCUUGUAAUUAAGGCCCUGGGCUCCGGAGAGUUGGGUUCAUUUUCUGGCCCUGCCAAAGACUUCCCAUGUGAUCUCAAGCAAGUCUCUCAGAAGGAGAUUUUUAAAGGCACAAAGGGCAGGAGAAGUUCCUCAUCUCCCUUUCCUGUGAACCCCAGUUGGGCUACUAGUGCUGACUGACAAGAAAACUGAUUUGCCACAAUUAAAAAAGCAGAGCUGAAGCCAUGUUGCAAAGUCUGGAGACAAACUAGAAUCUGAACUUCCUCCUAGCAUUCAGGUGUUCAGAUUUGGGAUAUUAGUUCCAACCCAUCAUGUGAAACAAAUUACUUAAUGUAUGAUUUAAUGCUAUGGUCACAACUCUUUCUAAGAAAACGGGUCCUAUUCUAUUUCAAAAGAAAACGGGAGAAAGUAGGUAACAUCAUGCUGACCGGUAUUGUAACUAUUGGAUAAUUUAGUAGGACAAAAGUAGCCAUAGUGGGGAAAACAAAAGAAGAAGAAGAAAAUAGGUUACUUUAUCAGGAUGCAGCUGAUUUUCCCAUUCCACAUAAUAAAACUUACCAGUCCCUCAUAGAACAAGAAGAACAUUUCCCCUUUGUAUGAACUAUUAUUUGAAAAUUCCAUUUUCAUCACUAGCCCAUGUAUGUCCAUGUAUAACUGUAUUUUAUAGUGCAUAUUCAUAUUGUUAUAUUUGUGGACCAUGCACAUAUAUGAAAAGAGUUGGAUUUUGCAUGCGUGCAAUUUAUGAGAAACAUAUUUUACAAAUACUCCAUACAUUACUGUUAAAUUCCAUUCUAGAAUUAUAUUGCUAAGGGAGUGCAAAUAAAUGCUUUCAAAAGUGGGAUUCAGCAGUUAGAGGCAGGAGCAGCCCCCAGGAAUCCCAGGUUCUGUUUCUGACUCUGCCACUGGCUUAUUGCAUACAUAGACAAUAUGAUGUUCUCUACAUUGUAUUGUGAUUCACUUUAUCUACAAAACUGUAAUACAACUUCUCACAGGGCUGGAAUGCAGGUUAAUGGGCCCAAUCCUGCUACGUGUGAAACCAGUGGGAUUUGUGCCAUUGAUUUCAACAGGCCAAACCAGGCUCAGAGAUCGUAAAAAAAUCUUUCAGCUCCAAUAGUAAGCACUAUAUAAAAGCAAAAUAUGGAAGCUUACUGAAGGGGAGUUUUUGAAAUACAGUUGUGGAAAGGUGAAUAUUCCUUUUAGAACCGAAACUGAAGUUUUCCAAUUGUUUCAAGUUUUCUGUAGGAUUGUUAUUUUCACUUGUAUUUUACUGUGUCCCACUCAGCUGCUUAUUCACUUGAUUCUGCACAAUGCUGGGCACUUCGGCCCCAGAGCAGCAAAAUACUGUUUUAGUUUAGUGACAUAAACUCAUGUCUGUAAAGUUAAAUAUGCAUUUCUAUUUUGUUGGAUCAGGACUGGAGUGAGCAGCAGCCUACAGGAUAGAAUCAUCCCUAGGGCUAAAUGCAUAAUUGUUUUCCUGUUUUAAGGGAAGAUAUGGUAGUACAGUAUACACACUGUCUGACCUAAGAUCCAGAGCCAAAUUGCAAGCACCCACAUAAAGAUUUUCUUUAUGGAAUGGAUCUUAAAAGUGGAAAUAUCUAUUUUUCCUCCAGCUAUAGUGACAGACUGUGUUUGCUCAAUGAUCCAGAUGUACAAGGCCUUGUUACAAGCUACAGCUUUUACACAAACUAUUUUUUGUUUGUAGUUAGCAAGUUAGCAGGUUUAAAAUCACACAUUAUAGAAAUCUUUUCUUGAGGGUAUGAUAAUAACCUUUCCUGCCCUUAAAAAUGCUUAAUUCUGUGUGCUGACUAUGUAUUUUAAUAUUAUUUAACCUAAAGGGGUUUUAGAAGACAUAAAUUAUUAUACAAUAGAUUUAGACAGGCUUAUAAAACAAAAACAGAUAUUAAUACAUAGAAAGCCUAUACAGAAGUGGUCAUUGCUCAUACUUGUAUUAACGUGCAAAUAAUAAUUUUUAAAAGCCUUUAGUUUAGAGGCUCUUUCCUCAAAGUGUAUUUCUACCUGCUGAUUAGCUUAUCCAGAGUACAAGUCACUAAAAUGUGAGGACUCUUGUACGCAUGAUGGGGUUUCAGUUCUUAGGUUGCAUUCUAUGCCUUCUAAAUUGAAACAGUGAGUUUUUAAUUGAAAUGGUGGGUUUUAUUUUUCCAUCACUGUAUAUAUGUUAUUGUCCUGGUGGCCACAGGUGCCUGCUGAAGACAGAAGCAGCAAGGGGCCUGAUCCCUUUUUUUUUUUUUUUGGCAGAGCCUGCCCACCUCUCCUACGGCCAGGAGGCCAUUAAUCUGUGCCAUUAAUGUGUCAGCUUGCCCGCCUGGCCAUGGAAGAGGCAGGCAGGCUCCACAGAAAAAAUAAGGAUUGGGCCCUUCACCACUUCUUCCUUCAGCAAGCUCCUGUAGCCGGCAGGACACCUGGGGACAUCUGGGAAUGGGCUAGCUU